UACGGAGGGGGCUAGCGUUGUUCGGAAUUACUGGGCGUAAAGCGUACGUAGGCGGUGACUCAAGUCAGAGGUGAAAGCCCGGAGCUCAACUCCGGAAUAGCCUUUGAAACUAGGUCGCUUGAACGUCGGAGAGGUGAGUGGAAUUCCGAGUGUAGAGGUGAAAUUCGUAGAUAUUCGGAAGAACACCAGUGGCGAAGGCGGCUCACUGGACGACUGUUGACUCUGAGGUACGAAAGCGUGGGUAGCAAACAGGAUUAGAUACCCUGGUAGUCCACGCCGUAAACGAUGAUAACUAGCUGUCCGGGCACUUGGUGUUUGGGUGGCGCAGCUAACGCAUUAAGUUAUCCGCCUGGGGAGUACGGUCGCAAGAUUAAA
This 375-nucleotide ribosomal RNA is filed under the name uncultured bacterium. Its description in RNAcentral is "bacterial SSU rRNA". It matches the Rfam family "Bacterial small subunit ribosomal RNA", at positions 524 to 898 of the family's 1533-position model. The record is from RNAcentral.